This 519-nucleotide ribosomal RNA is filed under the name uncultured bacterium. RNAcentral's name for it is "bacterial SSU rRNA". It matches the Rfam family "Bacterial small subunit ribosomal RNA", at positions 791 to 1314 of the family's 1533-position model. The record is from RNAcentral.
UAGUCCACGCCGUAAACGAUGAUAACUGGUUGUUUGUCCGAUUGGGGGCAAGUGACUGAGCGAAAGUAUUAAGUUAUCCACCUGGGGAGUACGUUGGCAACAAUGAAACUCAAAGGAAUUGACGGGGGCCCGCACAAGCGGAGGAACAUGUGGUUUAAUUCGAUGAUACGCGAGGAACCUUACCUGGACUUAAAUGUAGAUUGCAUAGAGUAGAGAUAUUCUUUUCUUCGGACUAUUUACAAGGUGCUGCAUGGUUGUCGUCAGCUCGUGCCGUGAGGUGUCGGGUUAAGUCCCAUAACGAGCGCAACCCCUACCGUUAGUUGCUAGCAGGUCAAGCUGAGGACUCUAACGGGACUGCCGGUGCAAACCGCGAGGAAGGUGGGGAUGACGUCAAAUCAGCACGGCCCUUACGUCCAGGGCUACACACGUGUUACAAUGGCCGGUACAGAGGGCAGCUACCUAGCAAUAGGAUGCGAAUCUCGAAAGCCGGUNUCAGUUCGGAUUGGGGUCUGCAACUCG